UACGAAGGGGGCUAGCGUUGCUCGGAAUUACUGGGCGUAAAGGGCGCGUAGGCGGACAUUUAAGUCAGGGGUGAAAUCCCGGGGCUCAACCCCGGAACUGCCUUUGAUACUGGGUGUCUUGAGUACGGGAGAGGUGUGUGGAACUCCGAGUGUAGAGGUGAAAUUCGUAGAUAUUCGGAAGAACACCAGUGGCGAAGGCGACACACUGGCCCGUUACUGACGCUGAGGCGCGAAAGCGUGGGGAGCAAACAGGAUUAGAUACCCUGGUAGUCCACGCCGUAAACGAUGAUUGCUAGUUGUCGGCACGCAUGUGUGUCGGUGACGCAGCUAACGCAUUAAGCAAUCCGCCUGGGGAGUACGGUCGCAAGAUUAAA
Molecule: ribosomal RNA, 374 nt
Filed under: uncultured bacterium
Lineage: Bacteria
Description: bacterial SSU rRNA
Rfam family: Bacterial small subunit ribosomal RNA
Source: RNAcentral